Molecule: long non-coding RNA, 1426 nt
Filed under: Ornithorhynchus anatinus (platypus)
Lineage: Eukaryota; Metazoa; Chordata; Mammalia; Monotremata; Ornithorhynchidae
Description: lncRNA (ENSOANG00000039136.1)
Source: RNAcentral
AUAGUUCCACCUAAAGCUUGGACAUUUGGUAUUCUGUACUAUGAGGUUCCAUGUCGGCAGAAACAGCAGGGGAGUUAUGCUUCAAGGAAAAUACCGUCCAUAAGCCAAUUAAACAUUUCUUUGGCAUCCCAGCAUCUAGCACACAGAAACCAUGAAGACAGAGGAAUUUGCGUCCACUCUCUAGAGAGAAGGAUCCCAAGCCACAGAGUUAAAUAUCAGUUAUUCAGCACUCCUAGGCCCCUGCCAGAGUCACUACCACAGGAGCGAGGCAGUAUGGUCCGUGCGUCUGAAUUUUCAACAAACCUGGAAGAACAGUAAUCAAAUAGACAUUCAUUUUACUCCCCAUUGUCUCAUUGCUUUGCUUGCUUUGGAUGCCUCAGGUUUAACAUCAUAAUCAUUACCUCUUUUCACCUCAUUAGGCCAACCAGGCUCAAAUGAUGAACUCUGGUUCAAUUUCAUUGUUUCAAAUUUAAUUAGUAAUUAUAACACUGUCAGCAGCAUCUGAUAUUUCAGUUUCCUAAUGCUCUUCCCUAACCUCUCCUUUUAUCUAUAUUUAAAACCAAAGUCACUGAAUGCAUAAGGUAUCUGAAUUAUUUGCAUUUGGGUUUACGCAUUCUUCUAUCGUAGAUUUCCACAUCUUUAAGCUCUGCGUGGCCAUCUGGAUCAGAUUGCUGCUAAAUCAAAUCAGAUAAACUUUACCUUUCUCCUAUCUUGAUUUAUAUCAACCAUACAUCUCCAAAGCUACAGCCUUGUUAAAUCCAAUUUAUUUUCAAAGAGCUUAUGAAAUUAAUUCAGUUUGGGGAACCUGAUAUACAUUCUCUGAGCAUGUAGUUUUUGAACAGAUUCAUGAAGGGAGAAGUGGAUGGAAUUACUGAGAUAGGAAUAUUGGGUGAUCUGUUUUCAUUGAUUCUUGAGUAAGCCUUGCAAGGCAGACUCCAUCCAAUUACUUAAGCAUUUUCUAAUCUAGUUCCUGCAACCCAUCAGUAUGUUAAUAUGCAGAUUUUUGAGUCUUAUAAUGGUCCUGAACACAGCAGUGAAGCUGCAGUCUAACUCAUGAUGAUUCAAUCUAGCAUUUUCCUAAGUUAGGACCAAGUUUUAGCUAAUAACUCUGAAUUAGGGGAAUGAUUGGAAUAAGGGAAAUCUUCAGAAUUAAAUUUUGGUGUCUGUCUGAAAUUGACUUUGCUUUUGGGACUGGGGAGGGUGAGCUGAAACUCUAGCAACCAUUGAUCUCACUUAGAGAUGAAGGCUGAGUUGCAGACCACAAAGGUGCUUUAAUUGACAUAAAGACUCCUGGGAAAAAUUUAUUCAAUAAACGAUGAAAUUCAUCCCAGUCCCCAGGGUUAUCUUGGAUUCAAAGGAAUAUUCAGGAAUCGUACAGCUGUCUAUGACUCCAAUGACAAAUCCAUACUUUAGUGACUCUGAGGAU